Molecule: ribosomal RNA, 185 nt
Filed under: uncultured bacterium
Lineage: Bacteria
Description: partial 16S ribosomal RNA
Rfam family: Bacterial small subunit ribosomal RNA
Source: RNAcentral
CCUUCAUGAAGCCGGAAUUGCUAGUAAUGGCAGGUCAGCAUACUGCCGUGAAUACGUUCCCGGGCCUUGUACACACCGCCCGUCACACCAUGAGAGUUGGGGAUACCCGAAGCCUGUGAGCUAACUUUUAGAGGCAGCAGUCGAAGGUAGAAUCAAUGAUUGGGGUGAAGUCGUAACAAGGUAUC